This 23-nucleotide ribosomal RNA is filed under the name Longidorus juglandicola. Its description in RNAcentral is "partial 5.8S ribosomal RNA". Lineage: Eukaryota; Metazoa; Nematoda; Enoplea; Dorylaimida; Longidoridae. The record is from RNAcentral.
CCAUUCUAAGCGGUGGAUCACUC